UACGAAGGGGGCUAGCGUUGCUCGGAAUCACUGGGCGUAAAGCGUGCGUAGACGGUAGCGUAAGUCGGGUGUGAAAGCCCCGGGCUCAACCUGGGAAUUGCAUUCGAGACUGCUCUGCUAGGGUGCGGAAGAGGGGAGCGGAAUUUCCGGUGUAGCGGUGAAAUGCGCAGAUAUCAGGAGGAACACCAGCGGCGAAGGCGGCGCUCUGGGCCGGUACUGACACUGAGGAGCGAAAGCGUGGGUAGCAAACAGG
This 253-nucleotide ribosomal RNA is filed under the name uncultured bacterium. Its description in RNAcentral is "partial 16S ribosomal RNA". It matches the Rfam family "Bacterial small subunit ribosomal RNA", at positions 524 to 776 of the family's 1533-position model. The record is from RNAcentral.